UUUUAAAAUUCUUUAAUUUUGUUAAAUCAUAUCUUCACUGAUGAUCACCUAGACAAUCAGAAGAAAGAAAUAUAUGGUUAAAACAUUACUUUGACUUAUAGUAUUUUAAAUAAGUUUAUUAAAUUUUACCAAUUUCCAAAUUAUAUUAUAUAAAAAUAAGAAAAUCUUUUUUUUGUUCAGUAAAAAAUAAAAAAAAAAGUAAACCAAAUAUGAGAAAUUUGCCAAAAAAAAGCUCAAAACUUGAUUUUAAAUGCAAAAGUAUAUCCAAAUUUUAAUCAAAUGCAAAGGUAACAUAAAAACCGUGUGAAAUUACAACCAAUUCUUU
This 325-nucleotide long non-coding RNA is filed under the name Brassica rapa (field mustard). RNAcentral's name for it is "long non-coding RNA (BRAP_LNC007011)". The record is from RNAcentral. Lineage: Eukaryota; Viridiplantae; Streptophyta; Magnoliopsida; Brassicales; Brassicaceae.